Molecule: ribosomal RNA, 673 nt
Filed under: uncultured bacterium
Lineage: Bacteria
Description: bacterial SSU rRNA
Rfam family: Bacterial small subunit ribosomal RNA
Source: RNAcentral
GGGGAUAAGCGGAAGAAAUUCCGUCUAAUACCGCAUAAUACAAUUUGGAGACAUCUCCGGGUUGUCAAAGGAGUGAUCCGGCAGAGGAUGGACAUGCGGCGCAUUAGCUAGUCGGCGGGGUAACGGCCCACCGAGGCUACGAUGCGUAGGGGUUCUGAGAGGAAGGUCCCCCACACUGGUACUGAGACACGGACCAGACUCCUACGGGAGGCAGCAGUGAGGAAUAUUGGUCAAUGGGCGGAAGCCUGAACCAGCCAAGUCGCGUGAGGGAAGACGGUCCUAUGGAUUGUAAACCUCUUUUGCAGGGGAGCAAGGCGCGGUACGUGUACCGCGAAGGAGAGUACCCUGAGAAAAAGCAUCGGCUAACUCCGUGCCAGCAGCCGCGGUAAUACGGAGGAUGCGAGCGUUAUCCGGAUUUAUUGGGUUUAAAGGGUGCGCAGGCGGACUGUUAAGUCAGCGGUAAAAUGUCGGUGCUCAACACCGGCCGGCCGUUGAAACUGGCAGCCUUGAGUGAGCGAGAAGUAUGCGGAAUGCGUGGUGUAGCGGUGAAAUGCAUAGAUAUCACGCAGAACUCCGAUUGCGAAGGCAGCAUACCGGCGCUCAACUGACGCUCAGGCACGAAAGCGUGGGUAUCGAACAGGCUUAGAUACCCUGGUAGUCCACGCAGUAAACG